RNAcentral lists this non-coding RNA (100 nucleotides) under Paenibacillus sp. Its description in RNAcentral is "Guanine sequence". It matches the Rfam family "Purine riboswitch aptamer". From Rfam's summary of the family: Riboswitches are metabolite binding domains within certain messenger RNAs that serve as precision sensors for their corresponding targets. Allosteric rearrangement of mRNA structure is mediated by ligand binding, and this results in modulation of gene expression. A class of riboswitches that selectively recognises guanine and becomes saturated at concentrations as low as 5 nM. The record is from RNAcentral. Lineage: Bacteria; Bacillati; Bacillota; Bacilli; Caryophanales; Paenibacillaceae. RNAcentral also lists the same sequence under 1 other name.
UAUGACGCUUCAGAUUUUAUUCGUAUAUCCCUGAGAAUAAGGUUCGGGGGUUUCUACAAGGAACCGUAAAUUCCUGACUACGAAUAGGGUGCCCAGGCAU